Molecule: transfer RNA, 75 nt
Filed under: Ralstonia pseudosolanacearum
Lineage: Bacteria; Pseudomonadati; Pseudomonadota; Betaproteobacteria; Burkholderiales; Burkholderiaceae
Description: tRNA-Lys
Source: RNAcentral
GGAAUUUUAAGGAAAUGCGCGACUGUCGGACUCUUAAUCCGUAGGUCGAGUGUUCGAGUCACUCACGCCCCACCA